GAGUCGGACCUGCCCAGUGAAUAAAUUUUUAACGGCCGCGGUACUCUGACCGUGCAAAGGUAGCAUAAUCAUUUGCCCUAUAAUUGAGGGCUAGUAUGAAUGGUUUGACGUGAACAAGACUGUCUCUGCAUAAUUUCCUAGAACUUGAUUUCUAGGUGAAGAAACCUAGAUAUUAUUGAUAGACAAGAAGACCCUAUUGAGCUUUAAAAAAGUAGGUUGAGAGUAAUAUAUUACUUUAAAUAUUAAUCUAUCUAAAAUUUUGGUUGGGGCGACUAUGGAACAAACAAAGCUUCUUUAUCUAUAUAAAACCCACAAGUUUUGAUCCAAGCAUUUUGAUUAAUGAAAUUAGUUACCAUAGGGAUAACAGCAUAAUUCUCUUUGAGAGCUCUUAUCGAAAAGAGAGUUUGUGACCUCGAUGUUGGACUAGAAUAUCCUAAAGAUGCAGCAGUCUUUAAGGGUUNGUC
This 464-nucleotide ribosomal RNA is filed under the name Luria lurida. RNAcentral describes it as "partial 16S large subunit ribosomal RNA". It matches the Rfam family "Bacterial large subunit ribosomal RNA", at positions 1850 to 2577 of the family's 2925-position model. The record is from RNAcentral. Lineage: Eukaryota; Metazoa; Mollusca; Gastropoda; Littorinimorpha; Cypraeidae.